This 499-nucleotide ribosomal RNA is filed under the name uncultured bacterium. RNAcentral's name for it is "partial 16S ribosomal RNA". It matches the Rfam family "Bacterial small subunit ribosomal RNA", at positions 28 to 523 of the family's 1533-position model. The record is from RNAcentral.
GAUGAACGCUGGCGGCGUGCCUAGCACAUGCAAGUCGAGCGAGAAGUUUGAAAAAUGAGUUUUCGAACAAGUGAUUCAAACGGAAAGCGGCGGACGGGUGAGUAACGCGUAGGCAACCUGCCCCGUGCAGAGGGACAGCCUCGGGAAACCGGGAUUAAGACCUCAUGAUAUCGGGUUAUCACAUGGUAAUCCGGUCAAAGAUUUAUCGGCAUGGGAUGGGCCUGCGUCUGAUUAGCUGGUUGGUGGGGUAACGGCUUACCAAGGCGACGAUCAGUAGCAUAACUGAGAGGUUCAUCUGCCACAUUGGAACUGAGACACGGUCCAAACUCCUACGGUAGGCAGCAGUGAGGAAUAUUGCACAAUGGGCGAAAGCCUGAUGCAGCAACGCCGCGUGAGCGAAGAAGGCCUUUGGGUCGUAAAGCUCUGUCCUUGGGGAAGAAACAAAUGACGGUACCCUUGGAGGAAGCCCCGGCUAACUACGUGCCAGCCGCCGCAGUAA